This 689-nucleotide ribosomal RNA is filed under the name Tausonia pullulans. RNAcentral describes it as "eukaryotic LSU rRNA". It matches the Rfam family "Eukaryotic large subunit ribosomal RNA", at positions 1 to 612 of the family's 3401-position model. Lineage: Eukaryota; Fungi; Basidiomycota; Tremellomycetes; Cystofilobasidiales; Mrakiaceae. The record is from RNAcentral.
GGCCGGGAUAAGAAAGGCAUAGUUGUCAGCUUCUAAUCGCCCUUGGGCAAUUUUUUAUGAUCUGGCCUCAAAUCAGGUAGGACUACCCGCUGAACUUAAGCAUAUCAAUAAGCGGAGGAAAAGAAACUAACAAGGAUUCCCCUAGUAACGGCGAGUGAAGCGGGAUGAGCUCAAAUUUAAAAUCUGGCGGUCUCAGAUCGUCCGAGUUGUAGUCUAGAGAAGCGUUUUCCGUGCUGGCCUGUGUACAAGUCCGUUGGAACACGGCGUCAUAGAGGGUGAGAAUCCCGUCCUUGACACAGAUCUCCAGUGCUUUGUGAUGCGCUCUCAAAGAGUCGAGUUGUUUGGGAAUGCAGCUCAAAAUGGGUGGUAAAUUCCAUCUAAAGCUAAAUAUUGGCGAGAAACCGAUAGCGAACAAGUACCGUGAGGGAAAGAUGAAAAGCACUUUGGAAAGAGAGUUAAACAGUACGUGAAAUUGUUGAAAGGGAAACGAUUGAAGUCAGUCAUGCUUUCCGAGACUCAGCCGGUUCUGCCGGUGUACUUCUCGGUUUGCAGGCCAGCAUCAGUUUUGGGCGGUGGAAAAGGUUGGCGGGAAUGUGGCAUCCUCGGAUGUGUUAUAGCCCGCUUUCGAAUACAUCGCCCGGGACUGAGGAACGCAGCACGCCUCUUGUAGGUCGGUCUUCGGACACGUC